CCUACGGGGGGCUGCAGUAAGGAAUAUUGGACAAUGGCGGAGACGCUGAUCCAGCUAUCCCGCGUGCAGGAUGAAGGACCUAUGGUUUGUAAACUGCUUUAGACUGGGGCGAAAAAGUGGGAUUUAUCCUACAUUGACGGUACCAGUAAAAUAAGCACCGGCUAACUCCGUGCCAGCAGCCGCGGUAAUACGGAGGGUGCAAGCGUCACUCGGAAUCACUGGGGAGAAGGGGGGCGUCGGCGGCUGGCGUGAACGGCCACGGCUUAACCGUGGGAUUGCUUUUGAUACUGGCGAGCUUGGAUUAGGACGAGGUUUGCGGAAUGUGGCAAGUCGCGGUGAAAUGCAUAGAUAUGCCAUAGAAUACCGAUUGCGAAGGCAGCUGACUAGACCUAUAUUGACGCUGAGGCACGAAAGCGUGGGGAGCGAACAGGAUUAGAUACCCUUGUAGUC
This 450-nucleotide ribosomal RNA is filed under the name uncultured bacterium. Its description in RNAcentral is "partial 16S ribosomal RNA". It matches the Rfam family "Bacterial small subunit ribosomal RNA", at positions 338 to 795 of the family's 1533-position model. The record is from RNAcentral.